Molecule: ribosomal RNA, 440 nt
Filed under: uncultured bacterium
Lineage: Bacteria
Description: partial 16S ribosomal RNA
Rfam family: Bacterial small subunit ribosomal RNA
Source: RNAcentral
CCUACGGGAGGCAGCAGUGGGGAAUAUUGCACAAUGGGGGAAACCCUGAUGCCGCGACGCCGCGUGAGUGACGAAGUAUUUCGGUAUGUAAAGCUCUAUCCGCAGGGAAGAACAUGACGGUACCUGAUUAAGAAGCCCCGGCUAACUACGUGCCAGCAGCCGCGGUAAUACGUAGGGGGCACGCGUUAUCCGGAUUUACUGGGUGUAAAGGGGGCGUAGACGGCAGCACAAGUCUGGAGUGAAAUGCCGGGGCGGAACCCCGGGAGUGCUUUGGAAACUGUGUCGCUAGAGUGCAGGAGAGGUAAGUGGAAUUCCUAGGGGAGCGGUGAAAUGCGUAGAUAGUAGGAGGAACACCAGUGGCGAAGGCGGCUUACUGGACUGGAACUGACGUUGAGGCUCGAAAGCGUGGGGAGCAAACAGGAUUAGAUACCCGUGUAGUC